CCCGAGCUGAGGUGGAAGUCCGAGCUGGCGUUCCUGUCAGAGCGGGGACGUUUGGCGGGAACGUCGCGGAGCGGGGCUGUGGGCCGGCAGGUGUCUGCUCGGCUGCGGGACGGAGCAAGCAGAAGUCCGGGCUGAGCACGCGUUGUGCGUUCUCGCCGCCGAGCCGCUGCUUUCCCCCCGUCAACCAGGAGGCGGCAGGCAGCACCUGGCAGAAGGAGUAGCGCUGUGGUAAUUUACCCAAAACGAAGACUGUCCUGUGGCUCUCUCUGAUAAUCCGGCGCUUGUGGGGUGACUGAAAGUAUAAGCGUGAUGGCAGAUUUUCCGUGCGACCCGUAAACUGGAAUGAGUCCAAAGGAUACCACGAGUGCUGCUGCCUGAGGAGCGGCACUGCGCAGUGCAUCCUUCUCCUCAGGUUAUUGAGCUGAAUGAAGUCACAGAGGGGUCUAAUGAAUGCCAGAGCCUCUGAGAAGAAAAGAAUGGAAGCAGAAUCUUCUCAUUUCAUUAGCAGCAAGUCUCCAGAUGGUGUCACGGUGUUUCAGAAGGCAGGAUUAUGUGGAGAGAAAAUUUCAGGAUGCGAGGGACCACA
RNAcentral lists this long non-coding RNA (586 nucleotides) under Gallus gallus (chicken). RNAcentral's name for it is "long non-coding RNA NONGGAT009195". Lineage: Eukaryota; Metazoa; Chordata; Aves; Galliformes; Phasianidae. The record is from RNAcentral.